AAACUUUCAACAACGGAUCUCUUGGCUCUGGCAUCGAUGAAGAACGCAGCGAAAUGCGAUAAGUAAUGUGAAUUGCAGAAUCUAGUGAAUCAUCGAAUCUUUGAACGCACAUUGCGCCCCUUG
This 123-nucleotide ribosomal RNA is filed under the name Phyllactinia carpinicola. RNAcentral's name for it is "partial 5.8S ribosomal RNA". It matches the Rfam family "5.8S ribosomal RNA", at positions 1 to 122 of the family's 154-position model. Rfam says of the family: 5.8S ribosomal RNA (5.8S rRNA) is a component of the large subunit of the eukaryotic ribosome. It is transcribed by RNA polymerase I as part of the 45S precursor that also contains 18S and 28S rRNA. Functionally, it is thought that 5.8S rRNA may be involved in ribosome translocation. The record is from RNAcentral. Lineage: Eukaryota; Fungi; Ascomycota; Leotiomycetes; Helotiales; Erysiphaceae.